This 444-nucleotide ribosomal RNA is filed under the name uncultured bacterium. Its description in RNAcentral is "partial 16S ribosomal RNA". It matches the Rfam family "Bacterial small subunit ribosomal RNA", at positions 330 to 792 of the family's 1533-position model. The record is from RNAcentral.
GCCAGACUCCUACGGGAGGCAGCAGUGGGGGAUAUUGCACAAUGGGGGGAACCCUGAUGCAGCGACGCCGCGUGGGUGAAGAAGCGCCUCGGCGCGUAAAGCCCUGUCAGCAGGGAAGAAAAUGACGGUACCUGAAGAAGAAGCCCCGGCUAACUACGUGCCAGCAGCCGCGGUAAUACGUAGGGGGCAAGCGUUAUCCGGAUUCAUUGGGCGUAAAGCGCGCGUAGGCGGCGCGUCAAGCGGGACCUCUAACCCCGGGGCUCAACCCCGGGCCGGGUCCCGGACUGGCGCGCUCGAGUGCGGUAGAGGCGAGUGGAAUUCCCGGUGUAGCGGUGGAAUGCGCAGAUAUCGGGAAGAACACCGAUGGCGAAGGCAGCUCUCUGGGCCGUCACUGACGCUGAGGCGCGAAAGCUGGGGGAGCGAACAGGAUUAGAUACCCGUGUA